CAUGCAGGGAGCUGUGGGGAGAAGGGCCCGGAGGCUCCAUGGCUGCAGGGAAUGGCUGAUCUUUAAGCCACCAGUGCUGGGAUAUGGUGACGGUUGCUCGCCUGGAUUGGAGUGUGCUGCAGGAGGAGGUGCAGCCUGUGUAAUCCCUGAGCAGCAAUGCAGCAGAGAGGCUCCAGAGGUGACGUGCCCGUGCCCGUGCCCAGCAGUGGGAUGACACAGCUCUGCCCUCCAUGGAGGCACAGGUAACCGGGAUGAUUCCCACCCAGUUUUCCUCACGCUGCCAGUUAAGAGCAAGGGAGAUGCCUCACACACCACCCUCCACCCCACAGGCUGUUAAUUCAUGAUACAGCUGCUAAUUAGUACCUACACAAACGGGCGUUACACCUUUGCCAAACAUUGCAGAGCAGCUACGCAGUGGAUCGGGGAACGAUGCGUGCGAUGGGAGGGACACAGAGGGGCUGUGUUAAUCCUUCCCCCCCACCUUCCAACAGCAAAGAAUUUCAACUUUCAGACAAACAACUUCAUUUACAAGUGUGUCUCUAAUUAGCUGCAGAAUUAGUAAAGCCGAGUUUUCCCCCCAUAGAUCGGCCGGAGCCCCGGGGGAGGCUGGGGAAUAGAGAGAAUCGCAUUUCCAAUUAUUUUGUUGAAUUGCUAAUUUAGUUAUUGUGCCGGCUGUAAUUGUGAUGGGUAUUGGGUGUGCAAUUCAAUUUGGUUUAAAUAUUUGUGGGAAGGCUGAGCAGUAAUGGAGCUGACCUAUUUCAUGGCCCACAUUGAGAGAAGAGACUAAAACAAAACACAGCACCAGAGCCACAGUUUGCCUCCGUUUGUAUUUUUGAUGUUUCUCAUCCCUCUUAAGACUGUUGCUGCAACAAAAGGUUUGCGUUAAAAGAUGAUGGCACUUU
Molecule: long non-coding RNA, 902 nt
Organism: Pezoporus flaviventris
Lineage: Eukaryota; Metazoa; Chordata; Aves; Psittaciformes; Psittacidae
Exons: 2
Source: RefSeq, a predicted model, not a curated record